RNAcentral lists this ribosomal RNA (253 nucleotides) under uncultured bacterium. Its description in RNAcentral is "partial 16S ribosomal RNA". It matches the Rfam family "Bacterial small subunit ribosomal RNA", at positions 524 to 776 of the family's 1533-position model. The record is from RNAcentral.
UACGUAGGGUGCAAGCGUUAAUCGGAAUUACUGGGCGUAAAGCGCGCGCAGGCGGUCCUUUAAGUCUGAUGUGAAAGCCCUCGGCUCAACCGAGGAGGGUCAUUGGAAACUGGAGGACUUGAGUGCAGAAGAGGAAAGUGGAAUUCCAAGUGUAGCGGUGAAAUGCGUAGAGAUUUGGAGGAACACCAGUGGCGAAGGCGACUUUCUGGUCUGUAACUGACGCUGAGGCGCGAAAGCGUGGGGAGCAAACAGG